Molecule: non-coding RNA, 72 nt
Organism: Desmophyllum pertusum
Lineage: Eukaryota; Metazoa; Cnidaria; Anthozoa; Scleractinia; Caryophylliidae
Source: the annotation of a GenBank genome assembly
UCUCCUGUAGCUCAGUGGUAGAGCGUCUGAACGUUGUCCGGAAGGUCAUAAAUUUGACUCCUGUUGGGAGAA